Non-coding RNA from Pimephales promelas (fathead minnow), 238 nucleotides. Lineage: Eukaryota; Metazoa; Chordata; Actinopteri; Cypriniformes; Leuciscidae. The record is from RefSeq and is a predicted model, not a curated record.
UCACCCAGAGGUUCACUCACAGCAUCCAGGCUAUCAGGGACUCCGUUCCUUCUCUAGUUGAGGAUGAGGGGUAUAGGGGACCUGUACAGGAACCACCCCCGAAGAAACGGAGGGCAAUGGGAGAAGAAACGCAACAGCAUCUGGCAAUAGAGGUAUGUGAUACCAUUAUGAGCCAUGCCAAGGAGAGGUUUUCUUUCACCAAGCAUCUCAUCAGCGCCACUCUCUUGCAAGGAGACUU